GGCGCUGUCAGUUGCUCAGCGCACAGCUUGCUGGGAGUUGUAGGACGAGGGGUCCUCGUCCCAGAGGCUUCGGACGCUAUGAAGGACGUUUCUGCUCGGCCGGCCUGAGCCCACGAGUUCCCGCCUGGGCCUCCUUAGCUUAUUUUAGUCCAGGAAUCCCCCAGGCUCAGCAUGCAGGUUACAAGAGCUUCGUUUCCCGGGGCUCAGGGCCCCGAGGUUCUGGGGACCCGUCUGGGAGACCGUUGAACCGAGGGCUGGCUUCGUGGUUCCCUGGGGUGAAGAAGCCGUUGUGUGACCCGUCGGGGCCAGGGGCGCGGAAGGCCAGAGGGGUUAGUAUCCUCACCAGGAGUCUCCUUAUUCGGCCCUGUGGGGGCUUUGCCACACCCGAGAUCUGGGACCUGUAUCUCCACAAUUUCCAGAAAUGGAUUCCUUUGUUAUUUGUAUUUAAUGAACAUGUCAACUUGCCAGAUUAAUCACGAAACUUUUGAUGUAGAAGAGACCCUUUGUCUGGACUACAUUCGCCCCAGAUAUCUUCAUGGCUUGUUCCCUAUCAGAAUGGAUUCUGUGGGACUGCAUAUUUUUUUGUGAUAGUCAGGCCACUUUCUGUUUUUUUCUUUUCCCUUCCUUCGGAAGAGCUGUUCAAAAUGGUGUCCUUGAGGCUGAACAAGAAUGAACGCGUAAGCUGGUCUCGGAAGCCAGGUCGGACCAACCGGAAAAGGCAUCACCUCAGCAGAUGACACCCAUCUUCUGAAGGCUUAGAGGUGGUCCCCAAAGGAUGCUUGGGGACACGACAAGGUGGUGUCAUUAGAACCAGUUGGGAGAGGCUUGCGGUUCCACUGCCAGCCCCUUUGUGAACCAGGGGAGUGCUGUGAUGGAAAAUGGCCCGAGUGUAACUGAGGAAGCAUUGCGGUCUCCUCCAGGGAGGAGAGCUGUCCUCACCGACAGCUGAAAAUCCACGUGAGCAGCAAAGCCGAAAGCUCCCGGUGAAUCCUCAUGUGUUAACACAUGUAAUAAUGUGAUGGUCAGUAUUUAUGUAAUAUUUUAAACCUCUUGUAGCACUUUUACACAUGACCCUACUCUUUUAGAAAUAGUAUGGGUCGUGAUGAUGGAUUUGAGUUUGCAUUCUGGUUCAACCUA
Molecule: long non-coding RNA, 1137 nt
Organism: Neofelis nebulosa (Clouded leopard)
Lineage: Eukaryota; Metazoa; Chordata; Mammalia; Carnivora; Felidae
Exons: 5
Source: RefSeq, a predicted model, not a curated record